UUGAGCGCAAGCAGUGAUAUUCUCCCAGCGCUCGACAGGGAAGGUCCAUUUCUCUGUGUCUCUGUAAAGUCCUGCAUCUGGCGCUCUUGAAAAGGCAUAAUCUUUUUACAAAUGAAAAAUAUGGAUCAGUAAAGCUCUGAAGAAUGCCACACGGUUUCCUGAGUGUUUACUGAAGCCAGUUAAUGUUUAGCUCUCUGCAUAAGCUGGAUAGGGACAUUCAGCUGAGGGCAGAAGAAUGAUUGUGCAUGGAAGGUGUUGCAGAAAGGGGAAGUUAUAUGUCUGUUAUAUGUCUGUUAUAUGUCUGUUAUAUGUCUGUUUAUAGCUAUUGAAGAUGUACCAGAUAUACCAUUGACUGUACACGAUGAACUUUUGUUUUGUGUUGAUGCCAUGGGGGGGCGGAUACCCCACUGCUUUAAAAGUGUUCUCAACAUGUAUUUUUGUCAGAGGACAUAUCCUGAUAUGUCUUCUCCGCUGCUAAUAAACUCAUCGUUUGAUUGCA
Oreochromis aureus is the source of this 499-nucleotide long non-coding RNA. RefSeq lists it as uncharacterized. The transcript is spliced from 2 exons. The record is from RefSeq and is a predicted model, not a curated record. Lineage: Eukaryota; Metazoa; Chordata; Actinopteri; Cichliformes; Cichlidae.